AGUAAUACAUAAGUAACCUGCCCUAGACAGGGGGAUAACCAUUGGAAACGAUAGCUAAGACCGCAUAGGUACGGACACUGCAUGGUGACCGUAUUAAAAGUGCCUCAAAGCACUGGUAGAGGAUGGACUUAUGGCGCAUUAGCUGGUUGGCGGGGUAACGGCCCACCAAGGCGACGAUGCGUAGCCGACCUGAGAGGGUGACCGGCCACACUGGGACUGAGACACGGCCCAG
This 232-nucleotide ribosomal RNA is filed under the name uncultured bacterium. Its description in RNAcentral is "partial 16S ribosomal RNA". It matches the Rfam family "Bacterial small subunit ribosomal RNA", at positions 109 to 334 of the family's 1533-position model. The record is from RNAcentral.